RNAcentral lists this ribosomal RNA (480 nucleotides) under uncultured bacterium. RNAcentral's name for it is "bacterial SSU rRNA". It matches the Rfam family "Bacterial small subunit ribosomal RNA", at positions 501 to 982 of the family's 1533-position model. The record is from RNAcentral.
CUACGUGCCAGCAGCCGCGGUAAUACGGAGGGUGCGAGCGUUAAUCGGAAUAACUGGGCGUAAAGGGCACGCAGGCGGUUAUUUAAGUGAGGUGUGAAAGCCCCGGGCUUAACCUGGGAAUUGCAUUUCAGACUGGGUAACUAGAGUACUUUAGGGAGGGGUAGAAUUCCACGUGUAGCGGUGAAAUGCGUAGAGAUGUGGAGGAAUACCGAAGGCGAAGGCAGCCCCUUGGGAAUGUACUGACGCUCAUGUGCGAAAGCGUGGGGAGCAAACAGGAUUAGAUACCCUGGUAGUCCACGCUGUAAACGCUGUCGAUUUGGGGAUUGAGCUUUAAGCUUGGUGCCCGUAGCUAACGUGAUAAAUCGACCGCCUGGGGAGUACGGCCGCAAGGUUAAAACUCAAAUGAAUUGACGGGGGCCCGCACAAGCGGUGGAGCAUGUGGUUUAAUUCGAUGCAACGCGAAGAACCUUACCUACUCUU